Non-coding RNA from Triticum urartu, 125 nucleotides. Lineage: Eukaryota; Viridiplantae; Streptophyta; Magnoliopsida; Poales; Poaceae. The record is from Rfam.
AAUAUACUCUCUCCGUAUAGAAAUACUUGUCAGAAAAAUGGAUGUAUCUAGACGUAUUUUAGUUUUGGAUACAUCCAUUUUUAUCCAUUGCUCCAACAAGUAUUUCCGGAUGGAGGACGUAUAUA